This 301-nucleotide ribosomal RNA is filed under the name uncultured bacterium. Its description in RNAcentral is "partial 16S ribosomal RNA". It matches the Rfam family "Bacterial small subunit ribosomal RNA", at positions 509 to 807 of the family's 1533-position model. The record is from RNAcentral.
CAGCAGCCGCGGUAAAACGAAGGGUGCAAGCGUUACUCGGAAUUACUGGGCGUAAAGCGUGCGUAGGUGGUGGUUUAAGUCCGUUGUGAAAGCCCUGGGCUCAACCUGGGAAUUGCAGUGGAUACUGGGUCACUAGAGUGUGGUAGAGGAUAGUGGAAUUUCCGGUGUAGCAGUGAAAUGCGUAGAGAUCGGAAGGAACAUCUGUGGCGAAGGCGACUAUCUGGGCCAACACUGACACUGAGGCACGAAAGCGUGGGGAGCAAACAGGAUUAGAUACCCCUGUAGUCCCUGUCUCUUAUAC